CUGUCGACAGUGUGAGGACUGACGAAGCUGCAAUAUGAAUCCACAGAUGAGUUGUCUGGAGCAAACGACCGCGUAAGCAUCGCGUCAUGGAGGCGGAGCAGGAGCGUGCACGAUAAGACCUAAAAGAUGGUGAACUAUGCUUGCGUAGGCUGAAGCCAGAGGAAAAUCUAGUGGAGGACCACAGCGAUUCUGAUGUGCAAAUCGAUUGCCAAACGUGAGUAUAGGGGGCGAAAGACUAAUCGAACCAUCUAGUAGCUGGUUGUCCCCGAAGAUUCCCUCAGGAUAGCUGGCACCCAUUUGCAUGAUCAAUUUUAUCCGAGAAAGCGAUUGCUUAAAGGUACUGGUUUCGAAACGAGCUCAACCGGCUCGCUUUAUAGGAGUCGGGCGCUGAAUGUGCGGGUGCCAAGUAGGCCAUUUUUGGUAAGCAGAACUGGCGCUGUGGGAUGGACCAAACGCUCAAAUUCCGUUCACCACCAUUCUAACACAUGUAAAUGUUUGGAUUAAAAAUUCGAUUGGGCGACGUCUAGAGCCAUGACGUGUC
Molecule: non-coding RNA, 541 nt
Filed under: Schistocephalus solidus
Lineage: Eukaryota; Metazoa; Platyhelminthes; Cestoda; Diphyllobothriidea; Diphyllobothriidae
Description: Eukaryotic large subunit ribosomal RNA
Rfam family: Eukaryotic large subunit ribosomal RNA
Source: Rfam by way of RNAcentral